RNAcentral lists this ribosomal RNA (510 nucleotides) under uncultured bacterium. RNAcentral's name for it is "partial 16S ribosomal RNA". It matches the Rfam family "Bacterial small subunit ribosomal RNA", at positions 28 to 507 of the family's 1533-position model. The record is from RNAcentral.
GACGAACGCUGGCGGCGUGCUUAACACAUGCGAGUCGAACGAAGAGCGAUGGAAGCUUGCUUCUAUCAAUCUUAGUGGCGAACGGGUGAGUAACGCGUAAUCAACCUGCCCUUCAGAGGGGGACAACAGUUGGAAACGACUGCUAAUACCGCAUACGAUCUAACCUCGGCAUCGAGGAAAGAUGAAAGGUGGCCUCUAUGUAUAAGCUAUCACUGAAGGAGGGGAUUGCGUCUGAUUAGCUAGUUGGAGGGGUAACGGCCCACCAAGGCGAUGAUCAGUAGCCGGUCUGAGAGGAUGAACGGCCACAUUGGGACUGAGACACGGCCCAGACUCCUACGGGAGGCAGCAGUGUGGAAUCUUCCGCAAUGGACGAAAGUCUGACGGAGCAACGCCGCGUGAGUGAUGACGGCCUUCGGGUUGUAAAGCUCUGUUAAUCGGGACGAAAGGCCUUCUUGCGAAUAGUGAGAAGGAUUGACGGUACCGGAAUAGAAAGCCACGGCUAACUACGUG